This 452-nucleotide ribosomal RNA is filed under the name uncultured bacterium. RNAcentral's name for it is "bacterial SSU rRNA". It matches the Rfam family "Bacterial small subunit ribosomal RNA", at positions 355 to 825 of the family's 1533-position model. The record is from RNAcentral.
UGGGGAAUAUUGCACAAUGGGCGAAAGCCUGAUGCAGCGACGCCGCGUGAGGGAUGACGGCCUUCGGGUUGUAAACCUCUUUCAGCAGGGACGAAGCGCAAGUGACGGUACCUGCAGAAGAAGCACCGGCUAACUACGUGCCAGCAGCCGCGGUAAUACGUAGGGACCAAGCGUUGUUCGGAUUUACUGGGCGUAAAGGGCGCGUAGGCGGCAUGACAAGUCACUUGUGAAAUCUCUGGGCUUAACCCAGAACGGCCAAGUGAUACUGUCGCGCUAGAGUGCAGAAGGGGCAAUCGGAAUUCUUGGUGUAGCGGUGAAAUGCGUAGAUAUCAAGAGGAACACCUGAGGUGAAGACGGGUUGCUGGGCUGACACUGACGCUGAGGCGCGAAAGCCAGGGGAGCAAACGGGAUUAGAUACCCCCGUAGUCCCUGAGCGGGCUGGCAAGGCGCAU